Long non-coding RNA from Vespula pensylvanica (western yellowjacket), 465 nucleotides. RefSeq lists it as uncharacterized. The transcript has 3 exons. The record is from RefSeq and is a predicted model, not a curated record. Lineage: Eukaryota; Metazoa; Arthropoda; Insecta; Hymenoptera; Vespidae.
CGAUGCAGACAAGAUUACUUCUAUUAAUGAGUGGGACAUUAGUUAUCCUAAAGAUAUUGUAUUAUGACAUAUAAGUCAAGAACCCAUAUAUUUUUCAACUAUUAUAAUUAAGAAUAUUAGAUAUAUGAAGCAAGAUGCUUGACGAAGGAGAGGAGAUCGUAAAAACGGCAGAGGAAGCUGAUGCUGCUUACGAAUUUAUUACAAAUCUUGCGAAUAAUCUGAAACCCAAGUUGGUGAGAGAGGAAGCUAAUUAUCUAGUGUAUGAAAGCAACAUGUUGCUAUUGUUAGAGCAUUGCUAUGGCAACAAUCGACUUCAAUAUUGAAUUUUAAUAAACGAGCGCAUUGGAUCGUGAAAACAGAAGAGUGGUUCAAGAAACAGUUGAAAAUUCUAACCAAGGAAGGAACAUCGUUAGCUAUUGUUCAUGUGUGCAUUAUGUGAUUGGGAAUACUUAGGAAGAGGAAAAA